UGGGAUAUAGCCAAGUGGUAAGGCACCAGACUUUGACUCUGGCAUUUCGUAGGUUCGAAUCCUGCUAUCCCAGCCA
Molecule: transfer RNA, 76 nt
Filed under: Clostridium sp.
Lineage: Bacteria; Bacillati; Bacillota; Clostridia; Eubacteriales; Clostridiaceae
Description: tRNA-Gln
Rfam family: tRNA
About the family: Transfer RNA (tRNA) molecules are approximately 80 nucleotides in length. Their secondary structure includes four short double-helical elements and three loops (D, anti-codon, and T loops).
Source: RNAcentral